GAUGAACGCUGGCGGUGUGCCUAAUACAUGCCAGUCGAGCGAACAGACGAGGAGCUUACUCCUCUGACGUUAGCGGCGGACGGGUGAGUAACACGUGGAUAACCUACCUAUAAGACUGGGAUAACUUCGGGAAACCGGAGCUAAUACCGGAUAACAUGUUGGACCGCAUGGUUCAACAGUGAAAGACGGUCUUGCUGUCACUUAUAGAUGGAUCCGCGUCGCAUUAGCUAGUUGGUAAGGUAACGGCUUACCAAGGCAACGAUGCGUAGCCGACCUGAGAGGGUGAUCGGCCACACUGGAACUGAGACACGGUCCAGACUCCUACGGGAGGCAGCAGUAGGGAAUCUUCCGCAAUGGGCGAAAGCCUGACGGAGCAACGCCGCGUGAGUGAAGAAGGUCUUCGGAUCGUAAAACUCUGUUAUUAGGGAAGAACAAAUGUGUAAGUAACUAUGCACGUCUUGACGGUACCUAAUCAGAAAGCCACGGCCAACUACGUG
Molecule: ribosomal RNA, 497 nt
Filed under: uncultured bacterium
Lineage: Bacteria
Description: partial 16S ribosomal RNA
Rfam family: Bacterial small subunit ribosomal RNA
Source: RNAcentral